AUGACUCACCAUGAGAAUGCUAGCACGCUGUUUCAAAUCAGAAACAUGAAGAGCACGGUUCUAGUACGCUGCUAUGUUUCUAGGAAUUGCUUAUUCCUUCAGCUGCUUCUUUCUGCUGACUGGGCACUGAUUGGACCCAUCAGUUCCAGAAGUAGUCUGGCCCCACACCUAUUAUUCCUUGCUGGCCUUGCUCCUGCAGUCGCAAUGAAUGCUGACGCUUGCAGCAGGAGCAGCUUAUGCAGCAAGUGUGAAAGCACCAAGAGUUAGAAGUCCUGUAGCAUGUAUGAGAAGUUGGGAACUCAUCUUUCUGAGGAGGAAGCCUUGCCUCUAAGGAGCUGCUGUCACUGUCAGGUACAGAAGUCGUUUACACUGCUGCUGUUUUCCUCUAAGGCUUCUGCAAGAGCCCGAUUUUUUCUCCUAAACUGUAUAUUGCUGCUAGAAAUCCAUGUUAUGGGGUUUGGAGAAAAUGGGGGAACCAGGAAUUCCUGAGUGAUUUAUGCUUGGUCAAGCACAGUACACACAUGACCUUGAUUUUGUGAUCUUAGCAAGACACAGGAACUACAUCAGUGCAAAGUAGACAUCUGAAGGUUUACUGAACCCGGAUCGUCUCUGCUGAACAAGAUAAACUCUGUUCACUGCCCUCCCUACGAAUGCCUGUACCACAAAAGAUUUGUAGAAAGCUGCAAGAAACUCCCCAGUGAACUUUCAUAACACCUUCUACCCCAAGGAUGUUUCUUUCUGGCCAUGAGAACUGAUUUAUGUCCCAAACAUGAUGGCUGAAGUCCUUCUCUAUGGCUAAUUUUAAAAAGAAUUCUACCUCUAACACUGACCAUGUCAAAAUGAAGAUCCCUUUGACAUUAAGACUACAUGAGAUCACUACCAGAGCUCAACAUGAAUUUUAGUGCCCUUCAACACUGAAAUUUCUCUGGUCUUCACUAUAUUGGGCAAUACUGUUAUUGUAUGGAAAUAUAAUAUACAUAAUAUUACUUCUAGAAAUGAAUGAAUGAAAAUAAUAUAACAUAUAUAACUAUUAAAUGUCUAUACCCAUCUGUAAAUACAGUAAAGUAGUAUGGCAACCCGUUUAGAUUGUAGCCACCAGGUGGUAGUAUAAGAUUAAGUCAUGUAAAAAUAAUUGGUAGUUUUGUAUUCGUUCUGCGACAAGCUUCAAACACGUAUCUGCUCUCUAAGAAUUCUGUAAAACAUUUUCAUGCUUAUUUAUCACAUCAGCAAUGGACACUCGGAAUAAAAAUCCUUCUCACAAGAUUCCA
This 1268-nucleotide long non-coding RNA is filed under the name Struthio camelus australis. RNAcentral's name for it is "lncRNA (ENSSCUG00000001174.1)". Lineage: Eukaryota; Metazoa; Chordata; Aves; Struthioniformes; Struthionidae. The record is from RNAcentral.